Molecule: ribosomal RNA, 476 nt
Filed under: uncultured bacterium
Lineage: Bacteria
Description: bacterial SSU rRNA
Rfam family: Bacterial small subunit ribosomal RNA
Source: RNAcentral
AGAGUUUGAUCCUGGCUCAGGAUGAACGCUGGCGGUAUGCCUAACACAUGCAAGUUGAACGGAAGCUUUCCAAGCUUUAGUAGCGGACGGGUGAGUAACGCGUGAGAAUUUACCUCUAGGAGGGGAACAACAGUUAGAAAUGACUGCUAAUGCCCCAUAUGCUUUAAUAGUGAAAUGGAUUUAUUCGCCUGGAGAGAAGCUCGCGUCUGAUUAGCUAGUUGGUGAGGUAACGGCUCACCAAGGCGACGAUCAGUAGCUGGUUUGAGAGGAUGAUCAGCCACACUGGAACUGAGACACGGUCCAGACUCCUACGGGAGGCAGCAGUGGGGAAUUUUCUGCAAUGGGCGAAAGCCUGACAGAGCAAUACCGCGUGAGGGAUGAAGGCUCGUGGGUCGUAAACCUCUUUUAUCAGGGAGGAAGUUCUGACGUGUACCUGAUGAAUAAGCAUCGGCUAACUCCGUGCCAGCCGCCGCGGU